Molecule: long non-coding RNA, 248 nt
Filed under: Sarcophilus harrisii (Tasmanian devil)
Lineage: Eukaryota; Metazoa; Chordata; Mammalia; Dasyuromorphia; Dasyuridae
Description: lncRNA (ENSSHAG00000024253.1)
Source: RNAcentral
AUAAGCCCCUUGGGGGGCCAGGAGGCCUGGCUGUGAUCCUGGGGAGCUUGGUGUCUCUUGCAGCUGCUGUGGCCCUCUUCCUAUUCUACCGACUCCAGCCCAAGAGUCAGCCAGACAUGGACAGCGACCUAUCAGACCCACCCACUUCCCACAAGGCUUCCCCACUUCCCGACCGGAACGAAGAAAUGAAGAACCACGUGUCAACAAAAGAUAUCCAGGUGAAAGAAGAGACUCUUUGCCUUAAUUGC